Molecule: long non-coding RNA, 4598 nt
Organism: Zophobas morio
Lineage: Eukaryota; Metazoa; Arthropoda; Insecta; Coleoptera; Tenebrionidae
Exons: 4
Source: RefSeq, a predicted model, not a curated record
AUUCUAAAUUGAGAGCAGACAAAGCAGUUCUGCAAAGAUUGAGUCAUUUGGAUAAAGCCCCACACUAAUUAUGGACUCAGGAGGGUGAUAAUGGGUUAGAUAACAAGCCAACAGUGAUUAUAUUUAAAUGUGAGAACCCUUCGAGACUCGUUAUUUUUGUAGGUUAUGUAAGCUGCAUUUAUCUGGUAUGAUUAACGCAAUAAUGGAACGAAGUAGCUGAAAGAACGUACAAAAUCCAGAAUACAAGUGCUCUAACAAGAAAUAUAACAAACAGGUAUUGAGUAGAGCUAUGGUCAGUGGCGAGAAAACGCCAAAAUUAAGCCCCAUUUAAACUAUCCAUUAUUAAGUUUUUAUAUUGGUUUGAAUUCUUUUCGUUGAUUUCGUACUGUUUGAUUCAGAAUUAAAUUUCAUUAGUUUUGUUUCUGUCAGCUGUCAAAUAUGUUUCGAAAUUUUGCCAGUCGUUUGAGGUUAUGUAACCACUACGAAAACAAAAAGUGUGUAAACAAAUGGGCCAGUUAUUAGGAUUCCUGUGUUGGUCUUAGUGAAGUAAAAAUCGUGAACUUACCUUUUCUACUUUUAAAUUUUAUGUGUAUUUGGAAAUUUAGUAUGUAUCAUCGAAAUGUAGCUUUUCAGGUGGUAUAUGUAAUGACAUUGAAUGUAUAAGUUUUAGGUAAUAGUUUUGUGUCUUAAGACAAUAUUUUAGCAACUAGAACAAGAUUAAUACCAUUGAAAGCCACAAAGAACAGAAAAAGGGAACUCAGUCGUUAUGUUUACCCUUAAACAUUCCCUGAACAUAGAAGUGACAGUCCACACUGAUACAUUUAGUACAAAAAGCGCUUCAGAUGGUUUCUUGUCUGUUUUUUUUAUACAAAUUAUUAUAACUGUGGGUCAUACAAUUCGCGUGUUGGAACUAGUACUAAAAUCAGCUAUUCGUAACGUUUUUGGGUGAAAUGUGGAAUAUGGACUAGAAAUAAAGACAUAAAAAGAUAUAGAUUUGGAUUCAAAGUUAUUACAGUUUUCUGUUACAUGACACUUUCAGCAUGUCUUAGGUUAAAUAACUUGAACAUAGAUGGCGCCACAACAACUUGUUCAAUUGUUCAAGUUCCAUCCAUUCCAUCAUAUUUUACAAAAUAUUUUCAAAUUAAAUUACUCUUAGUAGGCGUAUGCAUAUUUGUUGAUUCAUGUUACAUAAUUACAUUCAAUUUUAUCAAAUCUAGCAUGCUUUGAAAACAUGGCGAGUUUUGUUGAAACGAAAGUCGGAAAGAAUUUAGAUAAAGUAAUUAUUUAUGAAAGAUCAUAGCAAUCAAUAUAUUUUGCCUCUAAAAGGUAGCAGAGUUUCGAGUUUGUUAUUGUUUUUAUUAUGGGGUACAUUGGAAGUGUGGUUUAUGAGUCUGCUGUAGUGAUAGAAAGAGCGGAUCUUUUGAAGCUAUGAAUUAUUUAGAAGUCAUUGAAUGUAUUGAGAAUGUAGAGGUGUCUCUAGGCAGUUAUAACUUUCAUCACAAACACUGCAAAGCUCACUUUUCUGAUGACGUUUGUUUGACUUGCCUUAGUGACAUUAUGUCACACUAAUUGGAUCAAGAGUGUUUGAAGAAUGGUCCAUUUUUUGAGGAAAUGUUACGGUUUGUGUUAAGUUUUAAUUUGAAAAGAAGGAACAAAAAGAAUUAUUUAAAUAAAGUAGAACAAAACGCCUUAUUCUUUUUGUUUCUUUGUUUUUUAGGUUUUCUUUGGUUCUGAUUUCAUUAAUACAACUGUAAUUUGACAGUUUUGUCGUUUGUACUAACCGAGUGAACUUAAAAUUGAAACCAAACAUCUAUUUGCGGCUAGUCACUAAUCCAACUAUAGGUAUAUUGCUGAAAUAAAAAAAUGUUUGAUGUUAAUUUACAUGCAAAUAACGUUCCCUAAAGAUUUCGCAAAAGCACCGUCACCACCAAAAAGUUAAUGAUAUCGUCCCAAAACUGCAUUUCGUGCGCUUCCUUUCAACAUAAUCUUAAAUGCAACUUCAUCUCCGCGGAAAUAACACUCCGAAGAAAUUUUCAUUUUCCAUUAUCAAGAGAAAUGUAAACGACGCCGUUUUUUUUUUUUUUGUUUUCAGAUAACGCCUCUUUUUUAAUUGUAACAAAAACGCGUCAGGCCCACAGGAUGUUCUUUCACUCCCGCUUUAAAGCGGAAUGUGUGCAUGAAUUUAAUUUCAGAGCGGAAAUUGCGUCUUUCCAAUACCCUUUUCUGUUGUUUAACGAUAAAACAUUGGCGAUUCUAGCCGUCGAGAACAACAAUGUCGUCUCAGAUAGGGUGGGAGUUCAAGAAAAUUUUUUCCCUCUCUCACUGAGUGUCUAUUGUUCAUCGGGUCUUCAUUUAUCACGGAAUUUUCAGCAUGUUUGUCGCUUUGGAUUGGAAGGGUAAUUUGUUCCGAAUUUGCGCUCUUACUCGACUCGUUUUUCCACUCGACGAUUCGUGUCUUUUCAAAGAUUGGAAGUAUUGUCUGAUUGUAAUCAAAAACAGAUUAUUGGUGUGACGGAGGGCGGUCGGGGCGGGGUGAAGUAUUUUUGCAAAAACACGCCUGAAACUGUGACCUGUGAAGCUCACGAUAUACAUAUUAUGUAAGUCGUGUUUUGUAUCUUUCACUCGCCAAAACAACGAAUGAUGAAACUGUCUAGCAGAAAUUUACAGCAUCUAGGACAAAGCACACACGCCAACGUAAUUGCAGUUCUCCUUUCUGGCACCGGCUCUAAGAACGAAGAUUAUUUAUCGCCGCCUCGAUGAUCUGACAAGUGAGAAAUUGACCGAAUCACACGUUUCUGAUAUUUUCAACGUUCUCAACAACAUCUCUAUAUCCACGUACGAACCGUUCCUACCAAUAUUCAUCUCCAUUACUCUCUCCAUUCUCCCGUCCGGUUUCCUCUUAGUCGCCAAAUGGACCCACAGUAAAGUUUUCUAUUUGGAAAAUCGCGGAAAAGCCGAUUUCCCGAACAACGCUCCGCUUCACCAAAAGUAUAGCCGGAUUGAUGAGAGUCCCCGGCGGUGGCGACCUCUAUACACUCGAAGCCCCACGACUCAGCCAAAUAUACGAUAGGUAUUUAAUCGAGUUUCGCAAUUAAAUCUAAAAUAGCAAAAAUUUUCGAGAGGCGAUUGCAGACUGAGUCUGGAGAGCGACAUUUUCGUGUUCUAUGAGCUGUGAAACGCCAAGAAAACUGAAAAGACACACUCGUUGUUGCAGUUCGUUUUUUUUUUUUUUUUGUUAGGUGCUCUGGGAAAGUUAUGAGUUUGUCGGAUAAUAAUGCCUCCGAAGAGGUUUUAAACUGUGCACGAGAGUCGGUUGUUAUGGUGGAAGCGGUUAUAAAUAAUGACGUAAGUGGUUUUUCUUUAAAAAAGUUUGUCGGUUUGGAAGUUUUGUGAGCCGUAUGCGUUAAGCAGUUUCUGGAAAAAGGGUGUGCUAUUACAGCAAGUGGCGAAACUACUUAAAACUUGUGUUAACGAUUUAUAAAUUCGCAAACACGUUUUUUAAUUGUCAAGGGGUUGUAGCGUUUGUAGAGCGUAGGCAGGGGUAACACAGUUAAACAGAAAACUACCAUUGAAUUCAUUUUCGCUUUAAGCACACCCACCCCUCCUGAACAUCCAAGUUAACAGAAUAAUUCACCCCCGACCUCCCAAGGUUACAACGCAUGCUGAGACUUCUCUAAACUGUUGGUAAUUUCCGAAAGUUUGACGAGCUCCAUGCCCCAACUUCCAGGUGGGAUUACCAGACGAACUGACAAACAAUUAUUACGACGUGGCAGGAUCGAUUUUCAGGCGAUUAAGCGACAACGUGUCCGACGGAUUCAAUCGCGCAUGCAACAAAGAACCUCCAACUCUAAUCCGAAACGUCCAAACCUGAACAAACACUUUUGCACAAAACCCCGCCAGCAGAAACCAGGUCGUGGAAAAUCCUCGAAAAAUCAAAUUCGUUUUGUGCUCCACUAACAAAAUUUUGUGGUCUAGUAUAGUGAGGAAGUGCUCCAGCUCCGCUUCCCUAGAGUGGAGCUGCAAUAUCGGUACGAGUGUUUGUCGCCGCCUGGUAGUUAAUUCUUGUAAUCGUCUCGAGCGUUGAGUCAGAUUGAUGACUGCUCUGUUUGCCGAAUUAAUCCUUGGCUCCCCGUCCCAGUCAUGCCGUUGUGUUUUCCCCGAAUUUGCAUAUGCAUUCAGGAGAAACAUUGUUUGCAAUAAGCUCGAGCUUGCGGCGGCGCCGCUGCACUUCGACACUAGCAGAAGAGAUGUUGAGCAAAUUCGCAACUCGAAUAAAGAUUUAGUCUCGAGUUUGAGUAAUCUUGAGCAAAAAGGUCUCUGGGGCAUCUCUUACAUAAGUUACAACCCCGUAUGCAAAGCCCAAAGUUUUAUCUUUGUUUGUAGGUGAAGAGCACCUCGGCACAACAUUAAGACAGAGAUAAGUAUUCACUUUUUCUUUUUAAUAAAGCGUUGUUUCAACGUGGGUGGUUUCCUACACGGUUUCCCCUCUUCCAAACUUCGAUCCGAAUCUUUAAAAGUUGUUCCGAAGGGAUGUAAUUUAAUUGAUGCCGCGAAAAAGUAGGUCAUCAACACUCCUCCGCCGAAUUGCGGUGGCUCGU